GCUGGCAGUGAUGACAAACUUGCCCUCACUGAGAUCCAUCCAGGGAUGGUUGUUGAGAAACAUCCUCUGUGCUCAACUUGGGCUGAGCCUCC
Molecule: small nucleolar RNA, 92 nt
Organism: Lonchura striata (white-rumped munia)
Lineage: Eukaryota; Metazoa; Chordata; Aves; Passeriformes; Estrildidae
Source: Ensembl